ACAAGCACCAGCCUCUGGAAAUACCUCCAGGGAAAACAGGCCCCUGGCUGCCUUCCCACAUCUCAUGGGACCAACCAUGAGUUGUCAAAAGUUCUGAAACGGCUACUGUGUAUGACAGCAAAUAUUCCUUAUUUUGAUCAUGACAAAUCAUUUUCUAGCUUGAUUGUUAGCCUUCUGGGAAAGGAAUGGGUAUUUCAGCUGCCAACCUGCCUUACCACCAUGUCACUGACACACCUAAAUAUUAUGGCUGCAGGGACUAAGAGCCUUCUCAACAGACUACUGACAAGCCAA
Long non-coding RNA from Pipra filicauda (Wire-tailed manakin), 291 nucleotides. RefSeq lists it as uncharacterized. The transcript has 3 exons. NCBI's taxonomy places the organism in Eukaryota, Metazoa, Chordata, Aves, Passeriformes, Pipridae. The record is from RefSeq and is a predicted model, not a curated record.